GAUGAACGCUGGCGGCGUGCCUAAUACAUGCAAGUCGAGCGAACAGAUGAGGAGCUUGCUCCUCUGACGUUAGCGGCGGACGGGUGAGUAACACGUGGAUAACCUACCUAUAAGACUGGGAUAACUUCGGGAAACCGGAGCUAAUACCGGAUAAUAUAUUGAACCGCAUGGUUCAAUAGUGAAAGACGGUUUUGCUGUCACUUAUAGAUGGAUCCGCGCCGCAUUAGCUAGUUGGUAAGGUAACGGCUUACCAAGGCAACGAUGCGUAGCCGACCUGAGAGGGUGAUCGGCCACACUGGAACUGAGACACGGUCCAGACUCCUACGGGAGGCAGCAGUAGGGAAUCUUCCGCAAUGGGCGAAAGCCUGACGGAGCAACGCCGCGUGAGUGAUGAAGGUCUUCGGAUCGUAAAACUCUGUUAGUAGGGAAGAACGAAUGUGUAAGUAACUAUGCACGUCUUGACGGUACCUAAUCAGAAAGCCACGGCUAACUACGUG
Molecule: ribosomal RNA, 497 nt
Filed under: uncultured bacterium
Lineage: Bacteria
Description: partial 16S ribosomal RNA
Rfam family: Bacterial small subunit ribosomal RNA
Source: RNAcentral